RNAcentral lists this non-coding RNA (48 nucleotides) under Schistosoma mansoni. The record is from RNAcentral. Lineage: Eukaryota; Metazoa; Platyhelminthes; Trematoda; Strigeidida; Schistosomatidae.
AUCCAACUGACGAGUCCCAAGUAAGACGAAACGCGUGUCAAACUGGAU